GACGGAGGAUGCAAGCGUUAUCCGGAAUGAUUGGGCGUAAAGCGUCCGCAGGUGGCAGUUCAAGUCUGCUGUCAAAGACCGGGGCUUAACUUCGGAAAGGCAGUGGAAACUGAACAGCUAGAGUAUGGUAGGGGCAGAGGGAAUUCCUGGUGUAGCGGUGAAAUGCGUAGAUAUCAGGAAGAACAUCGGUGGCGAAGGCGCUCUGCUGGACCAUAACUGACACUCAGGGACGAAAGCUAGGGGGGCGAAUGGG
RNAcentral lists this ribosomal RNA (253 nucleotides) under uncultured bacterium. RNAcentral describes it as "partial 16S ribosomal RNA". It matches the Rfam family "Bacterial small subunit ribosomal RNA", at positions 524 to 776 of the family's 1533-position model. The record is from RNAcentral.